UGGGGAAUUUUGGACAAUGGGCGAAAGCCUGAUCCAGCAAUGCCGCGUGUGUGAAGAAGGCCUUCGGGUUGUAAAGCACUUUUGUCCGGAAAGAAAUCCUUGGCUCUAAUACAGUCGGGGGGUGACGGUACCGGAAGAAUAAGCACCGGCUAACUACGUGCCAGCAGCCGCGGUAAUACGUAGGGUGCAAGCGUUAAUCGGAAUUACUGGGCGUAAAGCGUGCGCAGGCGGUUUGCUAAGACCGAUGUGAAAUCCCCGGGCUCAACCUGGGAACUGCAUUGGUGACUGGCAGGCUAGAGUAUGGCAGAGGGGGGUAGAAUUCCACGUGUAGCAGUGAAAUGCGUAGAGAUGUGGAGGAAUACCGAUGGCGAAGGCAGCCCCCUGGGCCAAUACUGACGCUCAUGCACGAAAGCGUGGGGAGCAAAACAGGAUUAGAUACCCUGGUAGUCCACGCCCUAAACGAUGUCAACUAGUUGUUGGGGAUUCAUUUCCUUAGUAACGUAGCUAACGCGUGAAGUUGACCGCCUGGGGAGUACGGUCGCAAGAUUAAAACUCAAAUGAAUUGACGGGGUCAUAGCUGUUUCCU
This 586-nucleotide ribosomal RNA is filed under the name uncultured bacterium. Its description in RNAcentral is "partial 16S ribosomal RNA". It matches the Rfam family "Bacterial small subunit ribosomal RNA", at positions 355 to 1375 of the family's 1533-position model. The record is from RNAcentral.